This 69-nucleotide transfer RNA is filed under the name Allacta bimaculata. RNAcentral describes it as "tRNA-Leu". Lineage: Eukaryota; Metazoa; Arthropoda; Insecta; Blattodea; Pseudophyllodromiidae. The record is from RNAcentral.
ACUAUUUUGGCAGAAUAAGUGUAAUAAAUUUAGAAUUUAUUUAUGUAGAUUAUUUUUCUACAUUUAGUA